Molecule: long non-coding RNA, 2187 nt
Organism: Canis lupus familiaris (dog)
Lineage: Eukaryota; Metazoa; Chordata; Mammalia; Carnivora; Canidae
Exons: 3
Source: RefSeq, a predicted model, not a curated record
AGCGUUCUCCCAUGAACAUCUCCUGACACCCCGUCUUCCCACUUUGCCCUAAUGUUUGGUGAUGGAUACUCAGGGAGCCCCGGCACGUACUUAGAAAGUGCUAAGUAACUUCCCUGAAGCGAUAAGUGUGGAACUCCAGUAGAGGGAACUCAAAAAUGAGAAAUAGUGUGCCGUCCCAGCCCUAUUAAAGUUCCAGCUUGGGGGAACAAUGAAAUACUGAUUUCUGAAGGUCACCCCUAGUAUUUACCCCUCCCCCCACUUGAGUCUACCCUGAUGAGCCAACAAUCAGAGACCAUAGAGCAGCUUUUGCCACCUGAGAAACAGAGCCUGGCAUCUGCUGAUAAUCCAACAGCCUAGGACUGGAAGAAGAUGUGUGAUAAAGAGACCUAGAGACCAGAAAUCUGUAGAACAACAUCACAGGAAUAAGCAUACUGUUGUUCCUGAGAUUCAAAACGUUUAUGUCAAGAUUCUUUGGGGACGAAAGCAGACUAUGAGCUCCGAAGUUUGGAAAUUCCCACUGUCGCUCCAGAACUCCCAGAGAGCCCAGGAGGUACCCUACUUCCUGAGCAACCUUUUGAUGCCUCUGGUUUUCCCCUGAUGGAAGAACAUCUGAGCCAGGCCAGCCGGAUACUCUUCGGUCCCUUCUGUUCAACGUCUGCGCUGGCCAGACCAAGGGGCCAGGCAGCCAGAACGGUAGAGGUCUGUGCUUUUCGGGCGGCGGCCGGAAGAUGCGCUCUGGGAGCAGGCAGAACCACCGAGGCAGGGAGGACCUGGAUCGAAGAUGAGCAAAAACCCUGACGCUGGAUGUACUGAGGAGUCCUUGACCCUGCUGGUACCCGAGGUGGCCCCCAGGCUCUUGGUCUCCUCACAGGAGAGAAUCCAAGGGCAGGCACAAGUCGGAUGAGCCAUACAAGUAGGAAAUUUGAAAGCAAAAGUGCACUCCCAACAUCCCAGGAUGUGAGAGGGGUGAGCUGAGGAGGGAGAGAGUGGCACGACCUGGGGCUGGGUUUCUCUCUAUUACUGACAGUUGUUAACUAGGGGGCAGAAUGUUUAUUACUUGGGCCUGGAAGCAGGGUUUCCCACUGUUUUUUCUUCCUAACCUGCUCAGCGAUUUCCAUUUCCGGUGGUGGCUCCACCAUCUGGGGCCCCUGUGGUGUGAUCCUGCUCCUUGUGGAGUGCUGCCAGGACCUUCCUCACCACUGGCCACUGCCUCCUCCUUGCUGGCCUCCGGGCAUCCCAUGAGAGCCUCACUGCCUGCCUCCAAAAACCUGAGGUUUGUGAGAGUUUCCUUUCCCCAUGCCACACAUUGAGCCAGAGGCAAAGCCUGACCUAACACCUGGGUUCUCUGACCUUUGCACUCAGCACCGUAUCAGAGCUGUUUUAUAUAUUUUUUAUAUUUUAAUGGGAGACUGCAUUUAUGUUCAUUCUGUGCUGACAAACAGUAAUCACAAAUGUCAGACACGGGUCCUCUUUGGCCUGCCCAACCUUGGACACAUCAUUUGACUCCUAUGACUCCUCAGGUUCCCUAUCUGUUGUUCCAAAUGACAUAGGGCCUUUUGGCUUCAGUGCCCUUUAGCUGGAGUCACAGUAAUGAUCUGAAAUUUAGAAUCUUGGGAGGAGUACAAGUCCUGGCCCCUAUGCUUCAGUGCGGCCUCUACAAUGAUCGGUGCUUAAUUAAAUAAAGGAAUGGCAUUCCCAGGGUGUCCCGCUGUAUAAAAUGGAUAAGUCCCCAAAUCUACAGCUAAAUAGUUCAGCACCACAGUCUGGACUCAAGGGAGAAAGUAGCUUGCAAGUCUCAAGGCUUCAUGAAGUGGGGAUCACAGAGCCUGUGUGGUCUGUAUGGUUUAUAACAACAGAUGAGGUGCAUUCAUUGUUGAAGGGACAGCAGAUGAGAAGUAUUACUUUUGUAUAUGUCUCAUUCAUGGGGAGAGGUAAAGAAAGUGAAGCAAACUAAAAACACAGAGAAACCGAAGAGGGUUUAGAAGGCAUUCUUCAGUGCUGUCUGUGGUCUCUUUUCUCACUGCCUCCACAGUAAACUCUCCUGCCAUAACCAUCCUGGGUUUCCCAUAGCUCUAUUUAUUUCUUUUAUAACCAUUGUUUUUUUUUUUAAGCACAAUAUAUAUUUUAAUAUGUAUCAUUCCAGUUUUUUAAAAUGUACACAGAUACAAUUAUACACCUAUAAAAUAC